This 75-nucleotide transfer RNA is filed under the name candidate division MSBL1 archaeon SCGC-AAA261O19. RNAcentral's name for it is "candidate divison MSBL1 archaeon SCGC-AAA261O19 tRNA". It matches the Rfam family "tRNA". From Rfam's summary of the family: Transfer RNA (tRNA) molecules are approximately 80 nucleotides in length. Their secondary structure includes four short double-helical elements and three loops (D, anti-codon, and T loops). The record is from Rfam by way of RNAcentral. Lineage: Archaea; Methanobacteriati; Methanobacteriota.
GCCCCUGUGGUGUAGUCGGGCUAAGCAUUCGAGCCUCUCGAGCUCGUGACUCGGGUUCAAAUCCCGGCAGGGGCA